ACUUUCCUUUAAAAAUCUGAUGACGAAAUGCUAGGCCCCGCCAUAUGUCCCGAAAUGAAACUGAGCUCCCUUGCCGGCCUAAACCCUCUUUUCCUGAGCCUGGUGUAUACAAGGAAGGAGAUAAAUAAGAGAAGAAGGCCUUAUCAGAAAAAGAAAAAAACCCAGUGCAAGUAACUGGCUUGAGCGUAAUUUACCUUCGCAGCUUCCGGUCGUUUCCCUAAGUGAUUUAUUUAGAUCACAGAUUAACUUUCCAGAAUCGGAAUAAAAUAAUUUAGCUCUUCAGAGCACGGGUGGAGGAAAGCCAGGGCUGAGUUGGGACGAGUGCAGGAAACGCGUCGGACCUUUCCGGGCAGCUGGACAGUAUGGUAAACAGUCUGGAAGGGUUAUAUUAUUUUCUAAGGAGUUUGGAGAGACUGUUCCUUCGCACCCAGCUCAAGUGCAGGCCGGGGGAGGGGAGAGGGAACCUGCACCGGCCCUUGCUGGGAACCGCGCUUCCGGACCCGACACAGGGCUAGGGCAAACCGAGGAGCGCUUUCGCCUCUAGCUGAGAAACCUUUCCAGUCUUCCCAGCUGCUAGAGAAGGGAGCGAAAGCAAAACGAAAGCACCCGGGGCACAUCAGUCGCGGCGGCUUCCCUGAACGCGGCCGUGGGAGGCCAACGUCUGGGGUCGGUAGGCGAGGGUGGACGCGGGGGUUGCGUGGAAACUGGGUGGCGGGUGAUCCCCGCAGGACCCCCGGGAGCUGCUGGGAGCUCCGUCGCUCCUCCUCCCCCUGGGAAAAGCGACUGCGUGUGAGAAUGUAUCAGCCCCGAAGGGAAAGUUUGGCCUGGGUCUGGAGUUGAAAUUCGAGACUGAUUGGGACCGUGCGGAGGGGACGCAGAGGCAAAGGAGUGUGGCGCGGGGGCGAGCGUUGGCCCCCGGCUGCUGAGCCGGGGAAGAGGCCGGGGAGAGCCGGAGCGCGGCGAGGGCGCGCAGAGGCCGCUGGGGACUGGAGGCCCACGGAAUUGUUGCUCCGCUGAGGUUGCAAACUCAGCCUGCUUCCCCGCAAAAACCAGAGUUCUGCGCGGUAGAAAGACUUCAGGAAACUUUGGUGACAUCCUCUGCACCCGCCCUCUUCCCUCGUGGCAGUCACUGCGAGGACAAAGGCGGCCUGCGCUGAUUUGGACGAGGAGCGGCCCGUGUGGGCGGCCUUAGAGGCCGCAGACUUUUUCAGUUAGGAGAAGGAUGAGUAGCUUUACGAGGUGAAGAUUACCGCCACAACCACCCCUCAGGGGUGACAGCCAGUCCAAGUCUGAUUUGUUAAUAAUCAUUCUCAUUCCCCCACCUUCCCCCCGCAGUGACCCAACACUGGGAGACUGACCUGCGAGAUGCUCUCCCUUUCACUCCAGUAGGUUUCUGUGGCCAAACGCUCGAAAAGCCCCACCUUGCCCUACCUAAUAAACAACUAACUUUGUUCUAUUGAAUGUCA
RNAcentral lists this long non-coding RNA (1466 nucleotides) under Sus scrofa (pig). RNAcentral's name for it is "lncRNA (ENSSSCG00035019591.1, ENSSSCG00055003968.1, ENSSSCG00065035528.1, ENSSSCG00070002293.1)". The record is from RNAcentral. Lineage: Eukaryota; Metazoa; Chordata; Mammalia; Artiodactyla; Suidae.